UGGGGAAUAUUGGACAAUGGGGGCAACCCUGAUCCAGCAAUGCCGCGUGUGUGAAGAAGGCCUUCGGAUUGUAAAGCACUUUCGACGGGGACGAUGAUGACGGUACCCGUAGAAGAAGCCCCGGCUAACUUCGUGCCAGCAGCCGCGGUAAUACGAAGGGGGCUAGCGUUGCUCGGAAUGACUGGGCGUAAAGGGCGUGUAGGCGGUUUACACAGUCAGAUGUGAAAUCCCCGGGCUUAACCUGGGAGCUGCAUUUGAUACGUGUAGACUAGAGUGUGAGAGAGGGUUGUGGAAUUCCCAGUGUAGAGGUGAAAUUCGUAGAUAUUGGGAAGAACACCGGUGGCGAAGGCGGCAACCUGGCUCAUGACUGACGCUGAGGCGCGAAAGCGUGGGGAGCAAACAGGAUUAGAUACCCUGGUAGUCCACGCUGUAAACGAUGUGUGCUAGAUGUUGGGUAACUUUGUUAUUCAGUGUCGCAGUUAACGCGUUAAGCACACCGCCUGGGGAGUACGGCCGCAAGGUUGAAACUCUAAAGUGAAUUGAC
RNAcentral lists this ribosomal RNA (544 nucleotides) under uncultured bacterium. RNAcentral describes it as "partial 16S ribosomal RNA". It matches the Rfam family "Bacterial small subunit ribosomal RNA", at positions 355 to 914 of the family's 1533-position model. The record is from RNAcentral.